GGUUAAGUGAAUAAGGGCGCACGGUGGAUGCCUUGGCACUAGGAGCCGAUGAAGGACGGGACUAACACCGAUAUGCUUUGGGGAGCUGUAAGUAAGCUAUGAUCCAGAGAUUUCCGAAUGGGGGAACCCAAUAUCUUUUAUAGGAUAUUACUUUUCAGUGAAUACAUAGCUGAUUAGAGGUAGACGCAGAGAACUGAAACAUCUUAGUACCUGCAGGAAGAGAAAGAAAAUUCGAUUCCCUGAGUAGCGGCGAGCGAAACGGGAAGAGCCCAAACCAACAAGCUUGCUUGUUGGGGUUGUAGGACUCCAAUAUGGUAGUCUGUUAGUAUAGUUGAAGGAUUUGGAAAAUUCCGCUAAAGAGGGUGAAAGCCCCGUAGACGAAAUGCUGACAACACCUAGGAGGAUCCUGAGUACGGCGGAACACGAGAAAUUCCGUCGGAAUCCGCGGGGACCAUCCCGCAAGGCUAAAUACUCCCUAGUGACCGAUAGUGAACCAGUACCGUGAGGGAAAGGUGAAAAGCACCCCGGAAGGGGAGUGAAAUAGAUCCUGAAACCGUGUGCCUACAACAAGUCAAAGCUCGUUAAUGAGUGAUGGCGUGCCUUUUGUAGAAUGAACCGGCGAGUUACGAUUGCAUGCGAGGUUAAGUCGAAGAGACGGAGCCGCAGCGAAAGCGAGUCUGAAUAGGGCGAAUGAGUAUGUAGUCGUAGACCCGAAACCAUGUGAUCUACCCAUGUCCAGGUUGAAGGUGCGGUAAAACGCACUGGAGGACCGAACCCACGUACGUUGAAAAGUGCGGGGAUGAGGUGUGGGUAGCGGAGAAAUUCCAAACGAACUUGGAGAUAGCUGGUUCUCUCCGAAAUAGCUUUAGGGCUAGCCUCGGAAUUGAGAAUGAUGGAGGUAGAGCACUGUUUGGACUAGGGGCCCAUCUCGGGUUACCGAAUUCAGAUAAACUCCGAAUGCCAUUCAUUUAUAUCCGGGAGUCAGACUGCGAGUGAUAAGAUCCGUAGUCGAAAGGGAAACAGCCCAGACCACCAGCUAAGGUCCCAAAAUAUAUGUUAAGUGGAAAAGGAUGUGGGGUUGCACAGACAACUAGGAUGUUGGCUUAGAAGCAGCCACCAUUUAAAGAGUGCGUAAUAGCUCACUAGUCGAGUGACCCUGCGCCGAAAAUGUACCGGGGCUAAACAUAUUACCGAAG
RNAcentral lists this ribosomal RNA (1196 nucleotides) under Enterococcus sp. S123_ASV_20. Its description in RNAcentral is "partial 23S ribosomal RNA". It matches the Rfam family "Bacterial large subunit ribosomal RNA", at positions 1 to 1199 of the family's 2925-position model. RNAcentral also lists the same sequence under 1 other name. Lineage: Bacteria; Bacillati; Bacillota; Bacilli; Lactobacillales; Enterococcaceae. The record is from RNAcentral.